CUGCAAGUAGCUUUCUCAAGAGACCAGUAGGAUCACAAAAUACAUGUAACUCACUUGCUUCAAAAUUGCAAGGAGACGGUCUGGAAGCUUGCAAGUGAUGGUGGACACAACUGUGCUAGUGUGAUGCCAAGUCUAUGGCACGGGAUGUGCA
Molecule: long non-coding RNA, 151 nt
Organism: Corticium candelabrum
Lineage: Eukaryota; Metazoa; Porifera; Homoscleromorpha; Homosclerophorida; Plakinidae
Exons: 3
Source: RefSeq, a predicted model, not a curated record